Molecule: ribosomal RNA, 234 nt
Filed under: uncultured bacterium
Lineage: Bacteria
Description: partial 16S ribosomal RNA
Rfam family: Bacterial small subunit ribosomal RNA
Source: RNAcentral
UACGUAGGGUGCGAGCGUUGUCCGGAAUUAUUGGGCGUAAAGGGCUCGUAGGCGGUUUGUCGCGUCGGGAGUGAAAACUCAGGGCUUAACCCUGAGCCUGCUUCCGAUACGGGCAGACUAGAGGUAUGCAGGGGAGAACGGAAUUCCUGGUGUAGCGGUGAAAUGCGCAGAUAUCAGGAGGAACACCGGUGGCGAAGGCGGUUCUCUGGGCAUUACCUGACGCUGAGGAGCGAA